Molecule: ribosomal RNA, 497 nt
Filed under: uncultured bacterium
Lineage: Bacteria
Description: partial 16S ribosomal RNA
Rfam family: Bacterial small subunit ribosomal RNA
Source: RNAcentral
GAUGAACGCUGGCGGCGUGCCUAAUACAUGCAAGUCGAGCGAACAGACGAGGAGCUUGCUCCUCUGACGUUAGCGGCGGACGGGUGAGUAACACGUGGAUAACCUACCUAUAAGACUGGUAUAACUUCGGGAAACCGGCGCUAAUACCGGAUAAUAUAUUGAACCGCAUGGUUCAAUAGUGAAAGACGGUUUUGCUGUCACUAAUAGAUGGAUCCGCGCCGCAUUAGCUAGUUGGUAAGGUAACGGCUUACCAAGGCAACGAUGCGUAGCCGACCUGAGAGGGUGAUCGGCCAUACUGGAACUGAGACACGGUCCAGACUCCUACGGGAGGCAGCAGUAGGGAAUCUUGCGCAAUGGGCGAAAGCCUGACGGAGCAACGCCGCGUGAGUGAUGAAGGUCUUCGGAUCGUAAAACUCUGUUAUUAGGGAAGAACAAAUGUGUAAGUAACUAUGCCCGUAUUGACGGUACCUAAUCAGAAAGCCACGGCUAACUACGUG